CAGUCGCCACGGUAAUACGAAGGGGGCUAGCGUUGCUCGGAAUUACUGGGCGUAAAGGGAGCGUAGGCGGGUCGUUUAGUCAGAGGUGAAAUCCCGGGGCUCAACCUCGGAACUGCCUUUGAUACUGGCGACCUUGAGUAUGGGAGAGGUAAGUGGAACUCCGAGUGUAGAGGUGAAAUUCGUAGAUAUUCGGAAGAACACCAGUGGCGAAGGCGACUUACUGGCCCAUUACUGACGCUGAGGCUCGAAAGCGUGGGGAGCAAACAGGAUUAGAUACCCCCGUAGUCCCUGUCUCUUAUAC
Molecule: ribosomal RNA, 301 nt
Filed under: uncultured bacterium
Lineage: Bacteria
Description: partial 16S ribosomal RNA
Rfam family: Bacterial small subunit ribosomal RNA
Source: RNAcentral